UACGUAGGUGGCAAGCGUUGUCCGGAUUUAUUGGGCGUAAAGCGCGUGUAGGCGGCUUUGCAAGUCGGGUGUGAAAGCCCUCAGCUCAACUGAGGAGGUGCGCCCGAAACUGCAGAGCUUGAGUACCGGAGAGGAUGGUGGAAUUCCCCAAGUAGAGGUGAAAUUCGUAGAUAUGGGGAGGAACACCGGUGGCGAAGGCGACCAUCUGGACGGAUACUGACGCUGAGACGCGAAAGCCAGGGGAGCAAACGGG
Molecule: ribosomal RNA, 253 nt
Filed under: uncultured bacterium
Lineage: Bacteria
Description: partial 16S ribosomal RNA
Rfam family: Bacterial small subunit ribosomal RNA
Source: RNAcentral